GCAGCGCAGACAGGAAUGUCACCGUGGUCUCCCAGGCUGAAUGACAAAAGUUCGUGGACUGCCCCCUCCCCGCCUAUCCUCCACCCACGCGUACCGCCCCGUUCCCCCACCGUUUCCGACCCGGCAGCUUCUGGAAAACAGCGCCCUUGAUCCUCCCGGGCAGGAAGAAGGGCCAAGGAAGGGGUUAGAAGGGAAAGAGUUAGGAUUUCCCAAGAACCAGCCCUGAAGGCCUGGAGGUGGGGGAUUUCGCUUCUUAGUUGGACGGGAGCCCCUUGGGUUCCUCACUUCUUAGCCCGCGCCCUGCGGGAGGAGCGACUCUGCUUGUCCCUCAAGAUGCUUGUGAAGGUGCCCGCUGCGCUCUGACACCGGCGAUCUCUUAGAAUGAAGACCAUCCCUGGGCAAAAUUGCGAAGAAGUGGAAGGAAAGAAGAGAAAGAAGAAGAAAGGAAUAUAGGCCCUCAUAGAGGUGGACCCCUUGAUCUUGAACUCCCCAAUCUCCAGAACU
Molecule: long non-coding RNA, 504 nt
Filed under: Homo sapiens (human)
Lineage: Eukaryota; Metazoa; Chordata; Mammalia; Primates; Hominidae
Description: HSALNT0137957
Source: RNAcentral